GUCCAGACUCCUACGGGAGGCAGCAGUGGGGAAUAUUGGGCAAUGGACGCAAGUCUGACCCAGCAACGCCGCGUGAAGGAAGAAGGCUUUCGGGUUGUAAACUUCUUUUAAGGGGGAAGAGCAGAAGACGGUACCCCUUGAAUAAGCCACGGCUAACUACGUGCCAGCAGCCGCGGUAAUACGUAGGUGACAAGCGUUGUCCGGAUUUACUGGGUGUAAAGGGCGUGCAGGCGGGGACGCAAGUCAGAUGUGAAAACCACGGGCUCAACCUGUGGCCUGCAUUUGAAACUGUGUUUCUUGAGUACUGGAGAGGCAGACGGAAUUCCUAGUGUAGCGGUGAAAUGCGUAGAUAUUAGGAGGAACACCAGUGGCGAAGGCGGCCUGCUGGACAGCAACUGACGCUGAGGCGCGAAAGCGUGGGGAGCAAACAGGAUUAGAUACCCCGGUAAG
Molecule: ribosomal RNA, 450 nt
Filed under: uncultured bacterium
Lineage: Bacteria
Description: bacterial SSU rRNA
Rfam family: Bacterial small subunit ribosomal RNA
Source: RNAcentral